CAAUAGCGUAUAUUAAAGUUGUUGCAGUUAAAAAGCUCGUAGUUGGAUUUCUGGUAGGAGCGACCGUGCCGAACUUGAUUGUUCGAGUAUUGUGUUGUCUUCAGCCAUCCUCGUGGAGAACUUUUCUAACAUUAACUUGUUGGGAUUGGGACCCGCGUCGUUUACUGUGAAAAAAUUAGAGUGUUUAAAGCAGGCAUUAGCUUGAAUACAUUAGCAUGGAAUAAUAAGAUAGGACUUUGGUACUAUUUUGUUGGUUUGCAUACCAAAUUAAUGAUCAACAGGAACAGUUUGAGGAUAUUCGUAUGAACAUGUCAGAGGUGAAAUUCUUGGAUUUUGAUCAGACGAACUACUGCGAGAGCAUUUAUCAAGGAUGUUUUCAUUAA
This 383-nucleotide ribosomal RNA is filed under the name uncultured eukaryote. RNAcentral's name for it is "partial 18S ribosomal RNA". It matches the Rfam family "Eukaryotic small subunit ribosomal RNA", at positions 592 to 976 of the family's 1831-position model. The record is from RNAcentral.